GUGGUGGUAACUUGAAAACAGAAUGAGUUGUAGCGGCGGAGAACCCGAUCGGUCAGCUUUGGCCCGGAGUCGUAGCAUUGAUCACCAGCUCGAUGAAGAACGAGAAAGAAGACAGAAAGAGAUUCAACUACUGGUGCUAGGUGCUUCCGGUUCCGGGAAAAGUACCUUUAUCAAACAGAUGAGAAUCAGAUAUGGAGACGGCUUCCCUGAAAACGAACGCCACUAUUUCAAACCAUUUAUUUACGAGAACAUCACGCAUGCGCUGCACCAUGUCUUAGAUCAUAUGGCAUCUAUGAAGAUAGACUUUAAUGACCCAUCGAUGACUGAAACGGUGAGUGAGUUUGAGAAGAAAUAUCCACGAAUCAGGGCCUUGUUACUUCAUACAGUUGAGGAAGAUGGCACUCACUUCGACCACAACAAUACAAACUUAUUCCCCGCUCGACCACGACGUCUCUCGAACUUUUACUGUCAUUACGAGAAACCAGACAUUUUCUUAAUCCUGCAGGUUUGGCUAGACCCAGGCGUUCAAGAAUGUUACAAGAAUCUCAACGACCCCGACAAUGAAAUAUUCCUGCCCUAUUCUGAAGAAUACUUCCUCUCGAACAUUGAACGUAUCAUGCAACAGAACUACAUGCCGACUUUGGCUGAUAUUCUUCACAUUCGGAAAACUACAAUCGGUGUUCAAGAGUCUGUAUUCACGAUAAACAACUUAUCCUAUCGGUUUAUCGAUGUCGCUGGGCAAAAAAGUCAGCGUAAGAAGUGGAUCCCUUUCUUUGAAGGUGUCAGUGCCGUCAUAUUCUUUGCAGCUCUCAGUGCAUUUGAUGAGAUUCUUGAAGAAGAGCCUGCUAUGAACAGCAUGCAGGACAGUUUGCAAGCAUUCAGUGAUGUAGUCCAAAAUAGGUUUCUGGAAAAUAUGAACUUCAUACUUUUUCUAAAUAAAGAAGACCUUUUCAUCAGAAAAUUAAAAUUCACCAAGAUGUCUAAAAAUUUUCCUGACUACACAGGAGACAACAGUCCUGAACAGUGCCAGGAGUAUAUCAAGGACAAGUUUCUGGAGAAGAAACCCAACAAGAAGAACAUCUAUACACAUAUAACCUGUGCUGUCGAUGAGACAAAGAUGAGGAAUGUUCUGGAAAAUAUGCUCGAAAUGAUAGUUGAAUUCAACAUUCGAAAGUGUGGCACUUACUAAAGAAUUCUCAACUAAAUCACUCUCUCUCCCUCUCUCUCUCUCUCUCUCUCUCUCUCUCUCCUCUCUCUCUCGCUUAUUUGGAUCACCUGUAACAAUCUUCACCACUCUCACCACCCCGACACCAUCACCAACUACCACCUCCACAUCCACCACCAACACAACCACCACGACAACACCCAUCACAAUAUGCCGUGCUCCCACCCCCCACAAACAAAUCCCCCACCCCACCCUCACGAAUACCACCUCUACUAAUUCUCUCUUACUACUACCACUACCACUACUACUACUACACCUCCAACAUGGCCAUUUCUGCUGCUGCUCCUCCUCCUCCUCCUACUACUACUACAUGAACGCCACCAACAACAACAGCAACAAAUACAACUCAUACUACUGAUAAGAGUACUACGACAAAAUAC
This 1605-nucleotide unclassified non-coding RNA is filed under the name Octopus sinensis (East Asian common octopus). RNAcentral describes it as "guanine nucleotide-binding protein G(i) subunit alpha-2, transcript variant X2". The record is from RNAcentral. Lineage: Eukaryota; Metazoa; Mollusca; Cephalopoda; Octopoda; Octopodidae.